GAGUUUGAUCCUGGCUCAGGACGAACGCUGGCGGCGCGCCUAACACAUGCAAGUCGAACGAGCGAGAGAGAGCUUGCUUUCUCGAGCGAGUGGCGAACGGGUGAGUAACGCGUGAGGAACCUGCCUCAAAGAGGGGGACAACAGUUGGAAACGACUGCUAAUACCGCAUAAGCCCACAGCUCGGCAUCGAGCAGAGGGAAAAGGAGCAAUCCGCUUUGAGAUGGCCUCGCGUCCGAUUAGCUAGUUGGUGAGGUAACGGCCCACCAAGGCGACGAUCGGUAGCCGGACUGAGAGGUUGAACGGCCACAUUGGGACUGAGACACGGCCCAGACUCCUACGGGAGGCAGCAGUGGGGAGUCUUGCGCAAUGGGGGGAACCCUGACGCAGCGACGCCGCGUGCGGGACGGAGGCCUUCGGGUCGUAAACCGCUUUCAGCAGGGAAGAGUCAAGACUGUACCUGCAGAAGAAGCCCCGGCUAACUACGUGCCAGCCGCCGCGGUAAUUC
RNAcentral lists this ribosomal RNA (505 nucleotides) under uncultured bacterium. RNAcentral describes it as "bacterial SSU rRNA". It matches the Rfam family "Bacterial small subunit ribosomal RNA", at positions 9 to 526 of the family's 1533-position model. The record is from RNAcentral.